GAUUCAUAUAUGUGUGUGUGUGUUUGUGUGUGUGUGUGUGUGUAGACACACACACACACACACACACAUAUUUAGGUCUG
Podarcis lilfordi (Lilford's wall lizard) is the source of this 80-nucleotide non-coding RNA. The record is from the annotation of a GenBank genome assembly. Lineage: Eukaryota; Metazoa; Chordata; Lepidosauria; Squamata; Lacertidae.